GACAGCAGUUCCGCUCUGGCCGGACAGCCGUGACGCGGCUCCGUCCCAGCCGACGGCAAGGCGUGCUGCGCGUCACAGAGGCUGGCGGCCGUCGUCCGCGCCCAGCUGGCCGGCGCCUCGGUGGUAGUCGGACGUGCUGGGAGACGUCCGCGCCUGUUGCUUCGUGUCGGAUGCACGCGGGGCGCACGGCACACCGCCGUGCUGUCCGAACACGUCGCACUAUCCUCGACGCGUGGUGCUCUGACUGUGCUGGUCGCGUUAAAGCCAGACAUUAGCAUUCACAACGUGUCGACGCUGCAGUUCGGGUCGGCGGCUGACCUGAGAUCGGGAGAGCCGCGCGAGUGGGCCUACACAGAGCGGGCCAACGGCGACUACCGCUACUAUGAGAAGCGCCACUUCUGCGGCGUCACGGACAGCUACCUGGACAGCUUCAUGAACGUGGACAAGACCGUGUACGGCCGCAUGUGCCCACCGAUCGCGCCCUGUCAGCCCUGGUGGAUGCCGUACUCGCAGAUCAAUAUCCGGUAGUGGUUUUUUUCACCACGCAAGGGGUGUGAUGAAUGAGGCGCAUUGCGAUACAGUGGCGUGCGAUUCGUGCAGUCAGGGUGGCCGUAGUCCAUAGUGCACCUGUGAUGUGUCGGCCCUCCUGUGACAGCUGCGAGUGGCGGAAGAUAGCGUCUCGACCCAUGUUCCACUUUCAAAAGCACGCGGUAGACCGUCACGUGAGUAUAGAAGCCAACCAUCUACUUAGUUGCGUGUUUAAAGACUGAAGAAGUUUGAUGCAGGCGAUGAUUUGUCUCCGUUGCCGUUCCUCCGCGUUACGACACUUUGACCAUAGCGGUGUUUUCUUAGUGUACUUUGACGCUGUAAACAUCUGUAUCGUGCUUUGAUUAUUAUGUAGCGUGCAAAUAUCACUAAAGCGUCGUGACGGACGUUUGGUUUCAACUUG
Long non-coding RNA from Pollicipes pollicipes, 949 nucleotides. RefSeq lists it as uncharacterized. NCBI's taxonomy places the organism in Eukaryota, Metazoa, Arthropoda, Thecostraca, Pollicipedomorpha, Pollicipedidae. The transcript has 2 exons. The record is from RefSeq and is a predicted model, not a curated record.